RNAcentral lists this transfer RNA (74 nucleotides) under Trichomalopsis sarcophagae. RNAcentral describes it as "tRNA-OTHER". It matches the Rfam family "tRNA". Rfam says of the family: Transfer RNA (tRNA) molecules are approximately 80 nucleotides in length. Lineage: Eukaryota; Metazoa; Arthropoda; Insecta; Hymenoptera; Pteromalidae. The record is from RNAcentral.
GUAGACGACAGCUCAGUGGUUAGAGCACAGGCCUCUGGCUCUCGGGUCCGCGAGCUCGAGUCCCGUCGUCUACU